This 497-nucleotide ribosomal RNA is filed under the name uncultured bacterium. Its description in RNAcentral is "partial 16S ribosomal RNA". It matches the Rfam family "Bacterial small subunit ribosomal RNA", at positions 28 to 507 of the family's 1533-position model. The record is from RNAcentral.
GAUGAACGCUGGCGGCGUGCCUAAUACAUGCGAGUCGAGCGAACAGACGAGGAGCUUGCUCCUCUGACGUUAGCGGCGGACGGGUGAGUAACACGUGGAUAACCUACCUAUAAGACUGGGAUAACUUCGGGAAACCGGAGCUAAUACCGGAUAAUAUAUUGAACCGCAUGGUUCAAUAGUGAAAGACGGUUUUGCUGUCACUUAUAGAUGGAUCCGCGCCGCAUUAGCUAGUUGGUAAGGUAACGGCUUACCAAGGCAACGAUGCGUAGCCGACCUGAGAGGGUGAUCGGCCGCACUGGAACUGAGACACGGUCCAGACUCCUGCGGGAGGCAGCAGUAGGGAAUCUUCCGCAAUGGGCGAAAGCCUGACGGAGCAACGCCGCGUGAGUGAUGAAGGUCUUCGGAUCGUAAAACUCUGUUAUUAGGGAAGAACAAAUGUGUAAGUAACUAUGCACGUCUUGACGGUACCUAAUCAGAAAGCCACGGCUAACUACGUG